AAGCUUCACGAAUUCACAGGCCCUCUUAUGGUAUGAACUAAAUACACGAUGAUUUAUGGUGCGUAUUGAGAGCUUACCAUAAGACAAGGCCAUGAAUUCACGAAGCGU
RNAcentral lists this microRNA precursor (108 nucleotides) under Oryza punctata. RNAcentral's name for it is "MIR1428 microRNA precursor family". It matches the Rfam family "MIR1428 microRNA precursor family". The record is from Rfam by way of RNAcentral. Lineage: Eukaryota; Viridiplantae; Streptophyta; Magnoliopsida; Poales; Poaceae.